AUGGAGCAAGCCGAACUUGGCGUACAUGGAGAUGAGGGAGUUGGACACGAAGAGGCCGGUGUGGGGCGCUUCUCCUCCACUGUUGGCCGUGCGGGAGACAUGGUCAUGGAUGAGGCGGCCGUCGUUGGCCGUGCCGUGGCGGACGCAGAGCUUGAUGAGGCGGCAGAGCGAGAUGGGGUCCGCGCGGACGCCGGCCGAGGCGAGGUCGGGGAGCAGCGCGAGCGCGGCCGGGAGGGGGCCAUCGUCGCAGAGGCGGGAGAAGGUUGCGAGGAGAGGGUGCGGUUGGGUGUGGGAGUGGAGGCAGCGGCGACUCCGGCGAGCUGCGGCGAGACGCUUGCAAGGGAGGCGGUUGAACAGCGAUCUCAUAUGUGGCAAAAGGGCUCGCGACGGGAGACGGCUCGAGUUCCGCUAGGCUAG
Molecule: ribosomal RNA, 417 nt
Filed under: Triticum aestivum (bread wheat)
Lineage: Eukaryota; Viridiplantae; Streptophyta; Magnoliopsida; Poales; Poaceae
Description: partial small subunit ribosomal RNA
Source: RNAcentral